AACGAACGCUGGCGGCAGGCCUAACACAUGCAAGUCGAACGCUCCGGCAAUGGAGAGUGGCAGACGGGUGAGUAACACGUGGGAACCUUCCCUUUGGUUCGGAAUAGCCCAGGGAAACUUGGGGUAAUACCGGAUAAGCCCUUACGGGGAAAGAUUUAUCGCCGAAGGAUGGGCCCGCGUCGGAUUAGCUAGUUGGUGGGGUAACGGCCUACCAAGGCGACGAUCCGUAGCUGGUCUGAGAGGAUGAUCAGCCACACUGGGACUGAGACACGGCCCAGACUCCUACGGGAGGCAGCAGUGGGGAAUAUUGGACAAUGGGCGCAAGCCUGAUCCAGCCAUGCCGCGUGAGUGACGAAGGUCUUCGGAUUGUAAAGCUCUUUUGGCGGGGACGAUAAUGACGGUACCCGCAGAAUAAGCCCCGGCUAACUUCGUGCCAGCAGCCGCGGUAA
This 449-nucleotide ribosomal RNA is filed under the name uncultured bacterium. Its description in RNAcentral is "partial 16S ribosomal RNA". It matches the Rfam family "Bacterial small subunit ribosomal RNA", at positions 29 to 523 of the family's 1533-position model. The record is from RNAcentral.